Molecule: small RNA, 115 nt
Filed under: Canis lupus familiaris (dog)
Lineage: Eukaryota; Metazoa; Chordata; Mammalia; Carnivora; Canidae
Description: microRNA mir-8801 (ENSCAFG00845014020.1)
Source: RNAcentral
UAAAGGCCAGGGACCUGCUGCUCACUGGACAGUCAUUGUAUAGAGGAUGGUUCCAGGCUCCACACAUCCACUGCGAGACUGUUGUACGUAGGCAUGAGGGGGGGCUACCACAGAA